Molecule: long non-coding RNA, 497 nt
Organism: Dermacentor andersoni
Lineage: Eukaryota; Metazoa; Arthropoda; Arachnida; Ixodida; Ixodidae
Source: RefSeq, a predicted model, not a curated record
GGUGUCCAGCGCUCAGGGCUCCGUCCAAUGGCAAACUGCAGUGCUCUAGCAACACGUUCGAGUUCGGCACGACGUGUGAGGUCACGUGCUCGGUGGGCCACAACCUCGUUGGCAAUCCCACCGUUACCUGUUCGACCAAGGGCACGUGGAUUGGUGAGCUGCCAAGGUGCGAGGGUGUAGCGUGUCCGCCUCUCAAAGUGAACAAAAAGAUGCGAGUCGACCCUUCUCGCUGCAGAAACAAGACGAACCCUUACGGCUUUGUGUGCAAGUAUGAGUGCAUACCAGGCUGGCGGCUGGUUGACACGGAAAGAAACACUGCAGUCGAUGGCGUACGGAAGUGCUUAGAGGAUGGAAAGUGGAAAGACGCGGGACAGAAGAUAACGUGCCGAGGUUCGUCGGGGCUGUUGUCGACCAACUGCGAGCAAUCUUGAAGAAACGAUCACCUUACCUGUCGGUCGUCUCGAUCGUUUCAAAGACUAAGGACGUUUCGGCUGUUG